UGGGAUAUUAGCUCAGUUGGUUAGAGCGCCACGUUGACAUCGUGGAGGUCAGCUGUUCGAGUCAGCUAUAUCCCAACCA
RNAcentral lists this transfer RNA (79 nucleotides) under Chlamydiota bacterium. Its description in RNAcentral is "Chlamydiae bacterium (marine sediment metagenome) tRNA-Val". It matches the Rfam family "tRNA". From Rfam's summary of the family: Transfer RNA (tRNA) molecules are approximately 80 nucleotides in length. Lineage: Bacteria; Pseudomonadati; Chlamydiota. The record is from RNAcentral.